This 253-nucleotide ribosomal RNA is filed under the name uncultured bacterium. Its description in RNAcentral is "partial 16S ribosomal RNA". It matches the Rfam family "Bacterial small subunit ribosomal RNA", at positions 524 to 776 of the family's 1533-position model. The record is from RNAcentral.
UACGAAGGGGGCUAGCGUUGUUCGGAAUUACUGGGCGUAAAGCGCGUGUAGGCGGACCACCAAGUCGGACGUGAAAGCCCUGAGCUCAACUCAGGAACUGCAUCCGAAACUGGCGGUCUGGAGUAGUGGAGAGGAAAGCAGAAUUCCUGGUGUAGAGGUGAAAUUCGUAGAUAUCAGGAAGAACACCCGUGGCGAAAGCGGCUCUCUGGGACGGUACUGACGCUGAGACGCGAAAGCGUGGGGAGCGAACAGG